Molecule: ribosomal RNA, 747 nt
Filed under: uncultured organism
Description: bacterial SSU rRNA
Rfam family: Bacterial small subunit ribosomal RNA
Source: RNAcentral
UCGAGCGGUAAGCAUCCUUCGGGAUGCCUAGAGCGGCGAACGGGUGAGUAACACGUAGGUAAUCUGCCGUACGAUUAGGGAUAGCCCAUGGAAACAUGGGGUAAUACCGAAUACGACCUUCGGGGGAAAGGCGCUUCGGCGCCGUCGUACGAUGAGCCUGCGGCGCAUUAGUUAGUUGGCGGGGUAAAAGCCCACCAAGGCGACGAUGCGUAGCCGACCUGAGAGGGUGAUCGGCCACACUGGGACUGAGAUACGGCCCAGACUCCUACGGGAGGCAGCAGCUAAGAAUCUUCCGCAAUGGACGCAAGUCUGACGGAGCGACGCCGCGUGGGCGAGGAAGGCCGAAAGGUUGUAAAGCCCUUUUCUGCGUGAGGAAUAAGGUAAGGAGGGAAUGCCUUACUGAUGACGGUAGCGCAGGAAUAAGCCCCGGGCAAUUACGUGCCAGCAGCCGCGGUAACACGUAUGGGGCGAGCGUUGUUCGGAAUUAUUGGGCGUAAAGGGCGCGCAGGCGGUCAUGCAAGCUUGGUGUGAAAGACCACGGCUCAACGGUGGAAACGCGCUGAGAACUGUAUGACUUGAGUUUCGGAGGGGGAGCUGGAAUUCCAGGUGUAGGGGUGAAAUCUGUAGAUAUCUGGAAGAACAUCAGUGGCGAAGGCGAGCUCCUGGCCGUGAACUGACGCUGAGGCGCGAAAGCGUGGGGAGCGAACCAGGAUUAGAUACCCUGGUUAGUCCACGCCCGUAAACGAU